CGAUGUGUUCAUCGGUGUACUAUAUCCCCCACAUGGUUGCCUUUAGGACACUUAUUGUUGAGGAAGCCCCUCUGCCGUAAUGUCCGUCUCGAUGAAAAUCCUAGAUUAGGUCCCUUGAGAUAGAUGUUGUUUUAGGGACGUAAAGUGAAGAUAACGGGAAUGGGUAAUCGGGUUAUUGUUGGUUGGUAAAAAUAAAUAUAAUUAUUUAUUGCGGGUUGAAAACCCUAUAUGGUCACCAGGCUCCCAAGCCUAACCCACUCCGUUUAUUUGUAUUACAGGAAGUGACGCAAGGGCAUAAGAUGGAUGAAUCAUCAAGUUGUUUUGUUUACAAGUUUGUAUAUGUAUAUAUUUGUUGCAUGACUUGUAAUGUUAUCGUUUAUGCUUUAUGGUCUGUAUCGGAACAUGACAUCCCGAUUUUUGAUUAUGAAAUGAAAUUAUAUUUCUUUAUGAAAUGUUUUGAUAAAAAUCUAUUUUAUCAUGUUUUGUUUUGGGGAACAAAUUCUGCAACUCUUUUAAAUCAAAAGAAUUUACUAUGAAAAUGUUUAAAAAGCAUAAAUGAAACCGGUAUUUUCUAGCCGAGAUUUUGGGGAUGUUAAAGUUGGUGUCAGAGCAUUAGUUUAAGCGAACUAGAAUUUGUAGGAUUUUAGACUUAAACUUAGAAUGCUAAGUGAAGGUUGUUAGUUGUGUGUCUGUUAUAUUUCAGACACGAACACUAGUUUAUUUUAGGAAAUUUGCCUAAAAUGUUUUUAUGUGCUAAAUGUUAUAUGUUGCCAUAUAUGAUAUUAUUUGUUCGGAUCUAUGGUCUGUUGCCGACCAGAUCUGGAAACCUUAUGUGUGUAGGAUUCUAAGCGUAUGUCUACGUUAUUAGAACUAGCAUGUAAUCGUUUGGAGUAAUAAGGAUGAAUUGAAAUUAUAUCGUGAAAGAGGGUCUAGUUUCACCUUAUUCGGUGUAUAGAUAAAAAAUGGUGAGAACAAGAAGCGUAGCUGGAAACGUUGACCAAAACAGGAAUCAACCGCCUGUAGUCGAGCAAGCACCUGUGAUUGAACAAGUACUUGUCGUAGCAGCAACACCUGAGCUGAUAACAAUGGCUGGCGUACAAAUGAUGAUUCAAACGAUGUUGGAUCGUCAGAUGGAAGAAACAAGACGUCUGCUUAGGCAUAAUCGUGAAGAACCAUCAAUUCAAGUGGAAGAGCCCGAGGAGAAUGAAGGGCAGUCUGAAGGAGGAAACUUUAGUGGGAUCGUUGGUCAAGACGACCUACCGGUGGUUAGACACAACAACUAGUAUGGAGGAAAUGAUGGGNACAAGGAUUUAUGGCAUCCAAACCACCAUGUCUAUCCAGAAGCCCGACGCCGGUGCAAGUUAUGGACUGGAUCUCCGAAAUGGAGACAAUGUUUGAAAGUUGCGAAUGCAGCAACAGGCAGAAGACCGCUCUUGCGAUCCCUCUGCUAAAAUCUGGCGUGUUGAGUUGGUGGAAGUUGUUUGCCAACUCUAUGCCAAGGGAGAAGCGAGCAAAAUUAUUGGGAAGACUUUGUGGAGCAACUGAAACUGCAAUACUGCUCCGAGCAGGACCUUCUGGAAAUCAAUAAUGAGUUUCAAAAUUUGAACAAGGGGAAGUUGAGCGUUACUGAAUACGCUGCUAGUUUCACAGAAAAUAUGAAGCUUAUCCCAUAUUUAGUACCAACAAAACUCUCUAAGGUCAACAAGUUUGCCCUCGGAUUACCAGCGGACUAUGGUCCAAUGGUUAAGCAAGCAACCACAUUGAAAGCUGCCAUCUGGGCUGCUAUAAAUAUUGAGACCCAGAUCAGGGAGAAAGGUCUGGAGAGGUCAGAGGUUGGUGAAAAGAGGAAAAGCGAUGGACCCUCAGGGUCGAGCAAAAAGGGUAAAUUCGCGAAGUCUAGUUCGAGAGGAGGUGGAGAAGGCGAAGUGAAAUGGUGCGAAAAAUGCAAGAAGAAGCAUCAUGGGAAGUGUGGCGGGGAAGCCACAUGCUUCAAAUGUGGAAAGCCAGGGCAUUAUGCCAACGAAUGCACCCUCACCAAGAAAGUUUGCUAUGGUUGCGGUGAGGAGGGGCACAUAUCGAGGGAUUGUCUGAAAAAGAAGGAGGCAGCAAAACCAACAUUCCGCCAAAGCCGAAGGCAAGAGCCUUCCAGAUGACACUGGAAGUUGCUAAAGAUGAAGCUGAUGUCGCUUCAGGUACCUUUCUCGUAAACAAAUUGCCUGCCCAAAUUUUAUUUGAUUCUGGAGCCAACUAUUCCUCUAUUUCGCAUGAAUUUGGUAGAAAACUAGCUUUGCCUGUCGAUUGACUAGAUAAUGCUUUAUUAGUCGAAGUUGCUAGUGGCAAGUUUGUACCUGUUAGCUAUCGUAUGAAAAAAAUCUUAAUCGACUUGAAUGGGAAUAAGUUCCACGAGGAAUUAUUGCCUAUAGAACUGAACGGUUUCGACAUCGUUUUGGGAAUGGAUUGGCUUAGUGCCAAUGACGCCGAAAUAUUGUGCAGAAAGAAGAUAGUCAAAGUAAACCCGCCAGGGAACGAGUCAUUUAUGGUGUAUAGGGACAAACGCAGAGUAAGUUCUGGGAUCAUUUCUCUAAUGAAAGCCAGAAAGUGUUUGGCCAAAGGAUGUACAUCAUAUUUGGAAUUCGUGAUCGAUACUAAGAAGGAGAAAAAGGAGAUGCGGAGCAUUCCUGUCAUAUGUGAUUAUCCGGAAGUAUUUCCCGAAGAUCUUCCUGGAUUACCGCAUGAUCGGCAAGUAGAAUUACGUAUCGACUUGUUGCCCGGAACGACGCCUAUAGCAAAAGCACCUUAUCGAUUAGCACCGACAAAGAUGAAGGAGCUGAUGAUGCAACUUCAAGAGUUAUUGGACAAAGGUUUCAUUAGACCUAGUUCAUCGCCCUGGGGAGCUCCGGUGUUAUUCGUGAAGAAGAAAGAUGGAAGUAUGAGAAUGUGCAUCGAUUACAAAGAGCUGAACAAGGCAACAAUAAAGAAUAGAUAUCCGUUGCCGAGGAUUGAUGACCUGUUUGAUCAAUUGCAAGGUUCGAGCUAUUUCUCGAAGAUCGAUCUUAGGUCAGGAUAUCAUCAGCUAAAAGUAAGAGAGCAAGAUAUCGAGAAGACUGCAUUCAGAACUAGAUAUGGACACUACGAGUUCUUGGUUAUGUCGUUUGGACUAACCAAUGCUCCAGCAGCGUUCAUGGAUUUGAUGAAUAGGGUUUGUAAUCCGUUCCUUGAUAAAUCCGUGAUAGUGUUCAUAGACGACAUUCUGAUUUACUCGAAAAGCCAGGAGGAGCAUGGCAGACACUUGCGAGAAGUGUUAGAAGUCUUGAAGAAGGAGAAGCUGUAUGCUAAGUUCUCCAAAUGUGAUUUUUGGAUUUGAGAAGUCCAAUUCUUGGGUCAUGUGGUCAACCAAGAAGGUAUAAUGGUUGAUCCAGCAAAUAUUGAAGCUGUAAGGAAGUGGGAACAACUAAAAAGUCCCACGGAGAUCCGAAGCUUUUUGGGAUUAGCCGGAUAUUACCGAAGGUUUAUCCAAGGCUUUUCUUCGAUCACUAGUCCAUUAACUGCUUUGACCCACAAAGGAGCUACUUAUGCUUGGAGUGAUAAGCAUAAAGAAGCAUUCGAGAAGCUAAAGAAGAAGUUAUGCGAGGCACCAAUUUUAUCUCUACCCGAUGGAGUUGAAGACUUCGCUGUUUAUAGCGAUGCGUCUGGUGUUGGAUUGGGUUGUGUUUUGACUCAAAGAGAUAAGGUGAUCGCAUAUGCGUCUCAACAGCUAAAAGAGCACGAGAAGAACUACCCCACUCAUGAUUUGGAGUUGGCAGCGGUAGUUUUCGCUCUGAAAAUAUGGAGGCAUUACCUCUAUGGCACGAAGUGCAAACUUUUCACUGAUCAUAAGAGUCUCCAAUAUCUCUUUAGUCAGAAGGAAUUGAAUAUGAGGCAACGACGCUGGCUAGAAUUACUUAAAGACUACGACUGCGAGAUACUUUACCACCCCGGUAAAGCUAAUGUUGUUGCUGAUGCUCUCAGUCGGAAAGUCAAUCUUGAAAGGAAAAGGCCAAGAGCGUUGAGAAUUGAAGUUGUCUCGACAAAUGUGGAGAGUAUAAAGAAAGCUCAAGAGGAAGCUUCUGAAAAGAAUGACCGGAAGGGGGAACGUUUGGGCAAAACAUUGGUGUUCGGUACAAAUGGUCAUGGACUAAAGGUAUUCCAAGACCGGUUUUGGGUACCUAAGUCAGGAGGAAUAAGAGAUCUUCUGAUGGAAGAAGCUCACAAAACCAUGUACUCCAUUCAUCCCGGUAGCACAAAGAUGUAUAGGGACCUGAAACCCUAUUAUUGGUGGCCGACGAUGAAGCUCGACAUUGCGAAGUAUGUGGCGGAGUGUGUAACCUGUGCGAGAGUCAAGGCACAACAUCAGAAACCAUACGGGAGUUUAGAACCUUUACCUGUGCCUAUGGGUAAGUGGGAAGACAUUGCUAUGGAUUUUGUCACUAAACUGCCCAGAACAAAGAAUGGUCACGACAUGAUUUGGGUGGUCGUUGAUCGAUUCACUAAGAGUGCGCAUUUCAUAGAAGCCAACGAGAAAUGGUCUAUGGAGAAGAUUGCGAAUUCUUACGUGAAGGAAAUUAUGAGGCUUCACGGUGUUCCGCUAACGAUUAUGUCGGAUCGUGACAGCCGUUUCACCUCAAGAUUUUGGAAAAGUCUACAAGAGGAAAUGGGUACCAAGUUGUGUUUGAAUACAGCUUACCAUCCACAGACUGAUGGUCAGAGCGAACGAACGAUACAAACGGUUGAAGAUAUGCUAAGAGCAUUAACCCUAAAAUUCCAAGGUAACUGGGAUGAACAUUUACCUUUGGUAGAAUUUUCCUACAAUAAUAGUUUCCACUCGAGAAUUAAUAUUGCACCUUAUCAAGCUUUAUACGGACAGAAGUGUCGUACGCCGUCUUGUUGGCUUGAGGCUGGGGAAAGAAGUUUAUGGGACCAGAGAUAGUCCAUCAAACUGCUGAAAAGUUGAAAAUAAUUAGGGAGAGAAUGUUAGCAGCUCAGGACCGUCAAAAGAGCUAUGCUGACAAAAAGCGAAGACCGAUGACUUUUGAAGUUGGAGAUUCGGUUUUGCUUAAAGUCUCGCCGUGGAAGGGACUUAUAAGAUUUGGUAAAAGGGGAAAGUUAAGUCCAAGGUUUAUUGGACCGUUUAAAGUUCUUCAGAGGAUUGGGAACCAAGCUUACAAGCUCGAACUACCAGAAGAACUGAAUGGAAUUCAUAACACUUUUCAUGUGUGUUAUUUGNGACAUGAUUCCACUUUCGGAGUUGAGAAUCGAUGACAACAAAAGGUUGAUUGAAGAACCAGAGGCAAUCGUUGACCGAAAGACUAAGAACUUGCGAUGCAAGAUGGCCGAGUCAGUACUUGUCCGAUGGAAACACAUGAAUGGGCCAAAUCUCACUUGGGAGACGGAGAGUGACAUAAUGAGUCGCUACCCGCAUUUGUUUGUUGAUGUGUGAUUAUGGGGACGAAAACAUUCUAAGGUGGAGAGAAUUGUAAUGCCCGUGUUUAUGGGCUUGUCAUUAAAAGCAAUGUAAUAGUCUAGGUUAACCUUUGUAACCCAUUUUGAAAUAAUAUAAAUGUAUUAUUUGAGUAUUAUGUGUUUUGUGCUAAAUUGUGUGUCUUAAUUGAAUUAAGAAUAAAAAUAAAAAAUAAGCGUCAAAAUUUAAGUGUAAAAUAAACUUAAUAUCUUUGGUUAAUGUUGUAGUAGUCGAAACGAGGUUUCCGAANAAAGAAUGUUGAAAUCCGAGUUAUAACGAAGAAGUUAUGACCUGUCGAAGUUUCGCGAAAAAACUGGUGUGGCACAACAUGACGUAAAUAGUGAAUUUACGAAGGAGUGAUAUUUAGCCUUAGCGAUCUAAACGAAAGUCGUAGAGUUCGUUAAACCGAGAGGGUGCAUAAAAAGAUCGUCCAAAAUCUGACUUCGUAUGAGGAAGUUAUGAUUUUUCGAAGUUUUAGCUUAGCUGUAGACAGCCCAAAAGUUCGAAUUGAGAUUGAGCGAGUUUUAGCCGAAACAAUCUAAACGAGAAUCGAAGAUCUCGUUGAUAGUAGUGCUUUGGUGAAAAGACAGACAAAAACGGACGUCAGACGAAAAAGUUAUGAAUUUCUAACGAAGUUUUUCUGUCCCGGCCUACUAAAAAUAAAUAAUAAAAAUUAAAUUCAAAAUUAGCCGACAGAGUCUAAAUGAAAGUUGUAGAGUAUGGUCUGAACUACGCGUGGAUAUAAAGAAGGUAAAAAACGGAGCUCGUAUGCGAAAGUUACGCAAUUUAGAAGUUUGACGAGUCAAAUUACGCCGAGCGUAAUUUGAGUACACCCACCGUACUCGGAUGAGUGCAACUUGCCUAACCAAUACUCGAGUGCCACCAAGUGACGCAUGCAGUGACGUUUAGUACGCCUAACGUAAGGUCUGGUGCGCCCAGCGUAAUCCCAGACCCAACAACCUAUAAAUAGAAACCGAGAUCAGCCAUUUUCCUUGCUAAUUUUCUUCCUUUCUCUCUAAGUUUUGCAUUGUUUUGCGUGCCAAUUAUAUCCCAAAGCCCCCGCAUCAUUCCCGAGUCCUGAAGCAAGUUUCGAAGUCCCGAAGAUCUUGAGAAGUGAGCUUCCUGAGCCGAAGCUCUGCCCGCGAGGAGCCUGAUUUUUGUGAAGAUCUUCCAGAUCUACCGAAGAAUACUACAUCUACAAGUCGUAGUACUGUCCGAUCAUCUUCUGAUCAGGUGAGUGUGUAGUUACCUUCUUCUAACGCAUAAUUAUGAAGUAUUUUAUACGAAAUAUGUGUUAUGUGUAUAUUUUGUUGUUAUAUGUAUGAAAGUAUAUUCACUUUCUUCUAUCUCAUAGAUAUGAUUUAUCAUCUAUGAAAUACGUGUUAUGUGUAUGUGUCUCAUCUGUUGUUUGGAAUAUGUAUUGAAUGAGAAUGCUAUACAGGUUUUAAACUAUGUAUAAAAAUAUAUAUUUUUAUCUACUAAUAUGUUGGGUAGAACAUGGGUAGAUAGUUGAUGUGUGAUAAACAGAUGAGAGGCCUCGAUGUUGUUGUUGUUGAUCUAGUUAUUCAGCAGAGUAUGGAUAACGACCACAGACUCUUUCUAGACAGUCCUGUGGAAUGCUAGCAGGUUCAUAACCUGUAGGUGUUGUGAACGAUGUGUUCACCGNCGCCCACAUGGUUGCCUUUAUGACACUUAUUGUUGAGGAAGCCCCUCUGCCGUAAUGUCCGUCCCAAUGAAAAUCUUAGAUUAGGUCCCUUGAGAUAGAUGUUGUUUUAGGGACGUAAAGUGAGGAUAACGGGAAUAGGUAAUCGGGUUAUUGUUGGUUGGUAAAAAUAAAUAUAAUU
This 7341-nucleotide long non-coding RNA is filed under the name Lactuca sativa (garden lettuce). RNAcentral describes it as "long non-coding RNA (LSAT_LNC007857)". Lineage: Eukaryota; Viridiplantae; Streptophyta; Magnoliopsida; Asterales; Asteraceae. The record is from RNAcentral.